CUUUUCGAGGUAGGAGUCGACUCCUGUGAGGUAUGGUGCUGGGUGCAGAUGCAGUGUGGCUCUGGAUAGCACCUUAUGGACAGUUGUGUCCCCAAGGAAGGAUGAGAAUAGCUACUGAAGUCCUAAAGAGCAAGCCUAACUCAAGCCAUUGGCACACAGGCAUUAGACAGAAAGCUGGAAGUUGAAAUGGUGGAGUCCAACUUGCCUGGACCAGCUUAAUGGUUCUGCUCCUGGUAACGUUUUUAUCCAUGGAUGACUUGCUUGGGUAAGGACAUGAAGACAGUUCCUGUCAUACCUUUUAAAGGUAUGGAGAGUCGGCUUGACUACACUGUGUGGAGCAAGUUUUAAAGAAGCAAAGGACUCAGAAUUCAUGAUUGAAGAAAUGCAGGCAGACCUGUUAUCCUAAACUAGGGUUUUUAAUGACCACAACAAGCAAGCAUGCAGCUUACUGCUUGAAAGUCUUGUCUUAUUUUUUGAGACAGGGUCUUGCCUCACCCAAGCUAGAGUGCAGUGGCCUUUGAAGCUUACUACAGCCUCAAACUUCUGGGCUCAAGUGAUCCUCAGCCUCCCAGUGGUCUUUGUAGACUGCCUGAUGGAGUCUCAUGGCACAAGAAGAUUAAAACAGUGUCUCCAAUUUUAAUAAAUUUUUGCAAUCCA
This 657-nucleotide long non-coding RNA is filed under the name Homo sapiens (human). Its description in RNAcentral is "growth arrest specific 5, transcript variant 43 (GAS5)". Lineage: Eukaryota; Metazoa; Chordata; Mammalia; Primates; Hominidae. The record is from RNAcentral.